This 365-nucleotide ribosomal RNA is filed under the name uncultured bacterium. RNAcentral's name for it is "bacterial SSU rRNA". It matches the Rfam family "Bacterial small subunit ribosomal RNA", at positions 527 to 891 of the family's 1533-position model. The record is from RNAcentral.
GUAGGUGGCGAGCGUUGUCCGGAAUCACUGGGCGUAAAGGGCGCGUAGGCGGUUAAUUAAGUCAGGUGUGAAAACUCUGGGCUCAACCCAGAGACUGCACCUGAUACUGGAUAACUUGAGUGCAGGAGAGGACAGUGGAAUUCCUAGUGUAGCGGUGAAAUGCGUAGAUAUUAGGAGGAACACCAGUGGCGAAGGCGGCUGUCUGGACUGUAACUGACGCUGAGGCGCGAAAGCGUGGGGAGCGAACAGGAUUAGAUACCCUGGUAGUCCACGCCGUAAACGAUGGGUACUAGGUGUAGGAGGUAUCGACCCCUUCUGUGNNNNNNNAACACAAUAAGUACCCCGCCUGGGGAGUACGGCCGCAA